GAUGAACGCUGGCGGCGUGCCUAAUACAUGCAAGUCGAGCGAACGGACGAGAAGCUUGCUUCUCUGAUGUUAGCGGCGGACGGGUGAGUAACACGUGGAUAACCUACCUAUAAGACUGGGAUAACUUCGGGAAACCGGAGCUAAUACCGGAUAAUAUUUUGAACCGCAUGGUUCAAAAGUGAAAGACGGUCCUGCUGUCACUUAUAGAUGGAUCCGCGCUGCAUUAGCUAGUUGGUAAGGUAACGGCUUACCAAGGCAACGAUGCAUAGCCGACCUGAGAGGGUGAUCGGCCACACUGGAACUGAGACACGGUCCAGACUCCUACGGGAGGCAGCAGUAGGGAAUCUUCCGCAAUGGGCGAAAGCCUGACGGAGCAACGCCGCGUGAGUGAUGAAGGUCUUCGGAUCGUAAAACUCUGUUAUUAGGGAAGAACAUAUGUGUAGGUAACUGUGCACAUCUUGACGGUACCUAAUCAGAAAGCCACGGCUAACUACGUG
RNAcentral lists this ribosomal RNA (497 nucleotides) under uncultured bacterium. RNAcentral describes it as "partial 16S ribosomal RNA". It matches the Rfam family "Bacterial small subunit ribosomal RNA", at positions 28 to 507 of the family's 1533-position model. The record is from RNAcentral.